RNAcentral lists this transfer RNA (63 nucleotides) under Pseudunio marocanus. RNAcentral's name for it is "tRNA-His". It matches the Rfam family "tRNA". Rfam says of the family: Transfer RNA (tRNA) molecules are approximately 80 nucleotides in length. Lineage: Eukaryota; Metazoa; Mollusca; Bivalvia; Unionida; Margaritiferidae. The record is from RNAcentral.
GGCGAAGUAGUUUAAGUUAAAACAGCAGAUUGUGGUUCUGUAGAUAGUGAUACCUUUUCGUUA